CCGCAAGCCUGUUCCCUGCUCGCCGCAACCCCGGAGGCCUGGCUCAGAUUAUAGUUCGCAUCACCCACGUCAGCAGUCUAACACGUGCUUUUUUUUGGAAUGUCAUCACUGCAGGCCCCCCGCGACCCACCCGGCUCCAGGGCCGACCCACCAGGGCCCCGCACAGACAACACUCACCCAGCCAGCCUCACAGCUCCGGAAAGACCGAGUCAGGGCCUCCGGCUUCUACUUAAAGGAGGUCGCCGGCUUGUAAUGAGCGCGUCUCUGUGCAGUACACCAAAGGAAAGUUUACGAACAGGACGCAACCUAGUCACUUCUUUGAGAUGUUCUGUGCCAAGAGGUUGGCUAGGAGCCCAGCAUAUAAAGGUGACAAUCUAACCUUGUUCCUGAAUUGAAAGUAACCUGUUUGGGUAAAAAGAGCCUGUCUUUGAAAGUAGAGUACGUGCAACCAGAUCCUGACUUUGUGGCGAAUUUGUUGUAUGAAAAUAGGAAUUUGAGGAAAUUCCUCAAUUUGAGGAAAAUAGGAAUAUCCCAAAAAGGUGUUGUGAAGAUCAAAUGAAAUAAUGUCAGUUGCCUGGCACAUUCUGAGUGGUGAAUAAUUGCUUUUAAAGGACUGCUGUGAUGUGGAAAACUUAGGUGAGUGCAGUGCUUUGAUAAAUGCUAAAAUAGAGCUAUGAACGAGCUAUGAACUGUGGAAGCCCCAAGGAGAGAAUGCCUAACUUUGCGAAAGUUAAAAGUACUUCUAAGUACCGAACUCUUACUGUACGCCAGGCACACUCUUCACUACGUUUGACCCUUGAACAAGGAAGGGGGUGAGGGAGGUGUUGGGGACCCCACCACCCACUGGUGGAAAAUUUCUGGCUCAAUUUUGACUCCUCCAAAGCUAAACUACUAAUAGCCUACUGUUGACCAGAGCCUUAUGGAGAACAUAAACAGUCAAUGAACACAUACUUUGUGUAUUAUAUAUAUUAUAUGCUGUAUUUUCACAAUGAAGCAAGCUAGAGAAAAGAAAAUGUUAUUAAGAAAAUCAUAAAGGAUGGGUGCCUGGGUGGCUCAGCAGGUUAAGCACCCGACUCUUGAUUUCACCUCAGGUCAUGAUGUCCGGGCUGUGAGAUCUGCCCCGGUGAGGCUCUCGCUCGGCGUGGAUCCUGCUUGUCAUUCUCUCUUCUCCCUCUGCCACUCCCCCUGCCCCUGCGCGCUCUCUCCCUCUGCCUCUUUCUCUCUUUAAAAAAAAAAUAAUAAUAAUAAUAAAGGAAGAGAAAAUAUAUUUGCAGUGCUGUAUGGUAUUUGUUGAAAAAAAAGUAGACCCAUGCAGCUCAAAUCCAUGUUGGUGAAUUGUAAUGGGGACUAACAUGGCACGGCCCUAUAAGAGCCUGAUUUACCAGGAGAGAGAACAGCAACCAGUCACAAUAUUGGGUUUUCUUUAUCUCCUCAGUGUUCUCUUUGGGAAAUCUUCUGUUUUUUUCCUCCUAAUUUAAUAAGGAAAGUGUAGUAAGAAAAGCAUUUCAACCUGAGCUUGUAGUUUAAUAGUGCUCUUAUUUUCAUUAUUUUCUACACAGUCUUUAGUUAAGUUUAAAAAUACCCCUAUGACUGAAAGUAAUGGUUAUUUUGACAUGUUUUGUGACCUCUAUGCAGUUAUUUUUAUUGCGGCUUAAAUCUUUUAUUAUUUUUUACAUUUAUUACAUUGUGGUACAGAUUCUACGUUAAGAAAUGAAUACAGGUUUUCUUUGUGGCCUAGAAUAUGAUCUGUUUUUGCAGAUGUUCUGAAGAUUCUCAGGGCACCUGGGUGGCUCAGUCAGUUAAGCAACCAGCUCUUGGUUUCAGCUCAGGUCAUGAUCAUGAGAUCCAGCCCCAAGUGGGUUCUGUGCUCAGCAGUCUGUGCUCAGCUGGAAGUCUGCUUGAGAUUCUCUCUCCCCCUUUCCCUCUCCCUUCCCCUCUACCUCUCCCUCCCACUAUGUCUCCUCUAUAACCACCCCCCCACACACAUGCGCACUCUCUCUCUCAAAGAAUAUCUUACAAAAAUAAAUGUUCCAUGGAUUCUUGCAACGAAGAUGCUUUCACUAUCGUGUAUAAAUAUUGACAUGAAAUAUUUAUGAAUUCAGCCUAAAUUGUGUUGUAAUCAUAUUGUCCAAACGUCUAUCUAUUUUAUACUUAAUUGGGAGUGUAUGUACUGUUACUGACUGUGAUGUGUUAAGGUUAUGUUUCAAGUACGAAAUGCUGGGGAGGAUGCAAAGCGACAAGAACUUUGCUCCAUUACUAUUUGGGAAUACAAAACAGUAUAUACAUUUUGGAAAAGAUUUUGGACAGUUUCUUAUAAAGUUAACUUACCCAAGAGAAAUGAAAUUUUAUGUUCACACAAAAUCUGGUACACAAAUGUUUAUAACAUUAUUCAUAAUGCCUCCAAGGUGGAACUACCCAGAAGCCCUUCAUUGGGUGAAUCUUAAGCAAUGGUUGUACAUCCAUACAAUUGAAUGCUACUCGGCAAUAAAAUAGGAUGAACUAUUGAUACAUGCAACACUUGGAAGAAUCUCAGAGGCAUUAUGCUGAGUGAAAGAAACUAGACUCAAAAGAUGGUAUUAUUCCAUUUAUAUGAUAUUCUAGAAAAGAGAAAACUAUAGGAACUGAAAACAGAUGAAAGAUUUUCCAGGAAUUGGAGGUGCAGGAACGUUUGACUACAAAGGUGCAGCAUGAUUGCAUUUUUGAGGAUGAUAGAACUGUUCUGUAUCUGGAUCGUGGUGGUUACAUGACUUUUUGUAUUCGUCAAAAUUCAUAGAACUAUACCCCCACACGGUUUCAUUUUACCAUAUGACAUUUAAAAAUAAAAAAUUACGCCUCGUUUUCCCUGAUUAUUUCUGUUGUUACUUGCUUUGUAUAUUUUGAGGCUAUGCUAUUUAUCUCAUUACGCUUUGUGGCUGAUAAUAUUGCAUCAUGGAUUACAUGUAUUUAUGUAUAAAAUAACACUCAUGUUUUUUGCCUUGAGUUCUAAUUUGUCUUACAUGAGCAUUGCUACUUGUGUCUUUCUUUUUUUGUGUGUUUGCUGGUAUAACUGUGCCCAUUGCUUUAUUUUUAACCUUUCUAUGUUAUUUUGUCUUUAGCGUGUCCUUUGUAGGAGGCACAUGUUUGGCUUAUUGUGUUUAGCCCAACAUGACAAUACUUCCCUUUUAAAGUUUUUAGUGUGAAAUGUCUGUGCAUACAAAAGAGUACAUAUAAAGUAUAUGUGUGGUUUGGAAAUUACUAAUAAAUUGAACAUUGACAUGCUCACCACUUUUAGAAAAAUGGCAUCAUCGAUAACUUUAAAGCUCACUUUUUGCCCCUUCUGAUUUCAUUUCCCUCCCACAUUCUCAGAGGAAACCACCAUCCUGCGUUUGGAGUUUGACUUGUUUCGCUUUUUUUUUUUUUUUUUUUUUUUUUUUUUUUUUUUNCAUGUAUUUAUAUGUUAUUUAGUUUUGCUUGACUUUGAGCUUUAUAGAAGUAGAAUAUAUGUAUGUAUCUUCUAUGACUUACUCUUUUUAUUGCAUAAUAUUGGUGACAUUCAUGUUGUAUGUUUGCAGCCAGUAAUUGUAGUAAUGCAACCAGUUCACUUCUGUGUAGCAUCCCAGUACACAAUUUCAUCACUCUUUACACAUCUGUUCUCUUUAUUGUGGAUGUUUACAAUAGCUACAGUUUUCAUUAUUGCAAACCAGGCUGCUCCGAAUAUUCUUGUGUGUGUGCGCAGAAAAGUUCCUUUGGGGUAUGUAGAUAGAAGCACAAUUGCUGCGUGGUAGGGUAGGUACAUUUCCAACUUUCUAUAUAAUAGGGAAUAACUUUCCAAAGUGGAUGCUCUACUUUGCACUCCCGCAUUGGCCUAUACCAUCACCAGUGCUUGAUAUUGUCAGACUUUUCAUAGAUGAGCAUAAAAGGGUAUCUCAGUGUAGUUAAAUUUUUUAAAGCAUUUAAAAUGUAUAUUCUUAUACGACCAUUGACCAAUCAGCUGACAAUCAGGUUUUUUCUUCCGCAGUUGCUCUUUUAAAAUCCAACUUCAUAGGGGCGCCUGGGUGUCUCAGUUGUUAAGUGUCUGCCUUCGGCUCAGGUCAUGAUCCCAGGGUCCUGGGAUCGAGCCCUGCAUCCGAGCAUCUUGGGCUCCCUGCUCAACGGGAAGCCUGCUUCUCCCUCUCCCACUCCCCCUGCUUGUGUUCCCUCUCUCGCUGUUCCUUUCUCUGUUAAAUAAAUAAAAUCUUUAAAAAAUAAAAUAAAUUCCAACUUUAUAAAAAAUAAAAUAAAAUUCAACUUUACACACAAUAAAGGGCACCCAUAAGUGUCCAUUUCCCCGGUUUUUUGUUCGUUCGUUUGUUUUUACAAAUAGGUACGUUUGUGUCACCUCCCCCACAAUCAAGACGCAGAAAAUUCUCAUCUCUCCGAAAUGCUUCUCUCUUGCCUCUUUGUAGUCAGUGCCCGCCCCCUUCAAUCACCAACUCAGGUAACCACUGAUCCGUGUUCUGUUAUUACAGAAUGGUUUUGCCUGUUUUAGAUUUUCUUGUAAAUGGAUUCAUGCGGCUUGUACUCUCUUGUGUCUGGCUUUUGUCACUUAAACUAAUGUUUUUGAGAUUCGUCCAUAUUGUAUCAGUAAUCCAUGCCUUUUUGUUGCUGAGUAGGAUUUCAUUAUAUGAAUAUGCCACAGUUUGUUUUUCCAUCCACGUGUUUACAGAAUUUGGGUUGUUUCCAGUCUGGGGGUAUGAUGAAUAAAGCUGUUAUGAACAUCGGUGUAGAAGUCUUUUUAUGGACAUUUGUUUGCAUUCCUUCUAGGAAUGGAAUUACUAGAUCAUGUGAUAAGCAUAUAUCUUUAACCUUAUAAGAAACUGCCAAUCUAUUUUCCAAAGUGAUUAUUUUUACACUCCCACCAGCCACGUAUGAGAGUUCUGGUUAUUUCAAAUCCUAGUCAGCACUUGGUAUUGUCACUCGUUCUAAUGGGAUAGCUCAUGGUGCUAAUUUACAUUUUUCUGAUGACCAAAGAUGUUGAUGCUCUUUUCAUAUGACCAUUACUAUAUCUCUUUUUGUAAAGUGUUCAGAUCUUUC
This 5052-nucleotide long non-coding RNA is filed under the name Ailuropoda melanoleuca (giant panda). RNAcentral's name for it is "lncRNA (ENSAMEG00000023823.1)". Lineage: Eukaryota; Metazoa; Chordata; Mammalia; Carnivora; Ursidae. The record is from RNAcentral.